This 301-nucleotide ribosomal RNA is filed under the name uncultured bacterium. RNAcentral's name for it is "partial 16S ribosomal RNA". It matches the Rfam family "Bacterial small subunit ribosomal RNA", at positions 509 to 809 of the family's 1533-position model. The record is from RNAcentral.
CAGCCGCCGCGGGAAUACGAAGGGUGCAAGCGUUAAUCGGAAUUACUGGGCGUAAGGCGUGCGUAGGCGGUUUGUUAAGUCUGUUGUGAAAUCCCCGGGCUCAACCUGGGAAUGGCAAUGGAUACUGGCAAGCUAGAGUCUUGUAGAGGGGGGUGGAAUUCCCGGUGUGGCGGUGAAAUGCGUAGAGAUCGGGAGGAACAUCAGUGGCGAAGGCGGCCAUCUGGGACAACACUGACGCUGAGGCACGAAAGCGUGGGGAGCAAACAGGAUUAGAGACCCGUGUAGUCCCUGUCUCUUAUAA